GACGAACGCUGGCGGCGUGCUUAACACAUGCAAGUCGAACGGAAAGGCCCUGCUUUUGUGGGGUGCUCGAGUGGCGAACGGGUGAGUAACACGUGAGUAACCUGCCCUUGACUUUGGGAUAACUUCAGGAAACUGGGGCUAAUACCGGAUAGGAGCUCCUGCUGCAUGGUGGGGGUUGGAAAGUUUCGGCGGUUGGGGAUGGACUCGCGGCUUAUCAGCUUGUUGGUGGGGUAGUGGCUUACCAAGGCUUUGACGGGUAGCCGGCCUGAGAGGGUGACCGGCCACCUUGGGACUGAGAUACGGCCCAGACUCCUACGGGAGGCAGCAGUGGGGAAUAUUGCACAAUGGGCGGAAGCCUGCUGCAGCAACGCCGCGUGCGGGAUGACGGCCUUCGGGUUGUAACCCGCUUUCGCCUGUGACGAAGCGUGAGUGACGGUAAUGGGUAAAGAAGCACCGGCUAACUACGUG
This 468-nucleotide ribosomal RNA is filed under the name uncultured bacterium. Its description in RNAcentral is "partial 16S ribosomal RNA". It matches the Rfam family "Bacterial small subunit ribosomal RNA", at positions 28 to 507 of the family's 1533-position model. The record is from RNAcentral.